GCAUCCUUCCAGUUACAGCGUGUCUCGUGUCGUUGGAGUCCGGCGAGACUUUGGUGAGAGUUUUGGUAAAACCACAAUAAGGAGCGGAACAAGUCGUCAAGAUUCGGGUUUCACCCCUAACUUAACGACUUUAUUCUUGUUUGUGUGAUAGAAUCACGAGAUAGAGAGGAAAAUUUGCAUCGAAGUAUGGAUUUCACUCGUGGUUCAACGCAAACUCUCGUGUUUGUAUAAAAAUGCGCGUUGAACAAGCAACCCAAUCGAGAGUUUGCGGUUUUCAUACCUAGUCUUAAUUUAAUCACUUGUUCAUUUUCGAAAUAGUGUGCAAUGUGCUAGCAUGGCAUGCGUUGUUCGUGCGAGAAUAAGUUCGAGAAAGCGUAACAUAAAUAGGCUCGUGUAGAACCCCUACCGGGUUCGCAGAAGGCGGUCUAUUGGUACUUAGACUAUAGACUAGGUCGUUUCUAAGACAUCGACCCGGACUAGGUCGAG
This 486-nucleotide long non-coding RNA is filed under the name Helianthus annuus (common sunflower). Lineage: Eukaryota; Viridiplantae; Streptophyta; Magnoliopsida; Asterales; Asteraceae. The record is from RNAcentral.